RNAcentral lists this small nuclear RNA (107 nucleotides) under Myotis brandtii (Brandt's bat). Lineage: Eukaryota; Metazoa; Chordata; Mammalia; Chiroptera; Vespertilionidae. The record is from RNAcentral.
GUGCUCACUUUGGCAGCACAUAUACUAAAAUUGGAACGAUACAGAGAAGAUUAGCAUGGCCCCUGUGCAAGGAUGACAUGCAAAUUCGUGAAGCGUUCCAUAUUAAA